AGAAUGUCUAGUAUAAGCAAUUAUACCGUGAAACUGCGAAUGGCUCAUUAAAUCAGUUAUCGUUUAUUUGAUAAUACCUUACUACUUGGAUAACCGUGGUAAUUCUAGAGCUAAUACAUGCUGAAAAUCCCGACUUCGGAAGGGAUGUGUUUAUUAGAUAAAAAACCAAUGCCCUUCGGGGCUUUUUGGUGAUUCAUGAUAACUUUACGGAUCGCAUAGCCUUGCGCUGGCGACGGUUCAUUCAAAUUUCUGCCCUAUCAACUUUCGAUGGUAAGGUAUUGGCUUACCAUGGUUUCAACGGGUAACGGGGAAUUAGGGUUCGAUUCCGGAGAGGGAGCCUGAGAAACGGCUACCACAUCCAAGGAAGGCAGCAGGCGCGCAAAUUACCCAAUCCCGACACGGGGAGGUAGUGACAAUAAAUACUGAUACAGGGCUCUUUUGGGUCUUGUAAUUGGAAUGAGUACAAUUUAAACCUCUUAACGAGGAACAAUUGGAGGGCAAGUCUGGUGCCAGCAGCCGCGGUAAUUCCAGCUCCAAUAGCGUAUAUUAAAGUUGUUGCAGUUAAAAAGCUCGUAGUUGAAACUUGGGCCUGGCUGGCGGGUCCGCCUCACCGCGUGCACUCGUCCGGCCGGGCCUUCCUUCUGAAGAACCUCAUGCCCUUCACUGGGCGUGCUGGGGAAUCAGGACUUUUACUUUGAAAAAAUUAGAGUGUUCAAAGCAGGCCUUUGCUCGAAUACGUUAGCAUGGAAUAAUAAAAUAGGGCGUGCGUUUCUAUUUUGUUGGUUUCUAGAGACGCCGCAAUGAUUAACAGGAACAGUCGGGGGCAUCAGUAUUCAGUUGUCAGAGGUGAAAUUCUUGGAUUUACUGAAGACUAACUACUGCGAAAGCAUUUGCCAAGGAUGUUUUCAUUAAUCAGUGAACGAAAGUUAGGGGAUCGAAGACGAUCAGAUACCGUCGUAGUCUUAACCGUAAACUAUGCCGACUAGGGAUCGGGCGAUGUUCUUUUUCUGACUCGCUCGGCACCUUACGAGAAAUCAAAGUUUUUGGGUUCUGGGGGAUAGUCCCC
This 1066-nucleotide ribosomal RNA is filed under the name Alternaria alternata. RNAcentral describes it as "SSU rRNA". It matches the Rfam family "Eukaryotic small subunit ribosomal RNA", at positions 52 to 1128 of the family's 1831-position model. The record is from RNAcentral. Lineage: Eukaryota; Fungi; Ascomycota; Dothideomycetes; Pleosporales; Pleosporaceae.